GGGCUGGGGCAGGGGCCAGGGGCCUACGGGAGGCAGCAGUGGGGAAUAUUGGACAAAUGGGCGAAAGCCUGAUCCAGCACAUGCCGCGUGUGUGAAGAAGGUCUUCGGAUUGUAAAGCACUUUUAAGUUGGGAGGAAGAGGCAGUUACCUAAUACCGUAUCUGUUUUGACGUUACCGACAGAAUAAGCACCGGCUAACUC
Molecule: ribosomal RNA, 200 nt
Filed under: uncultured bacterium
Lineage: Bacteria
Description: partial 16S ribosomal RNA
Rfam family: Bacterial small subunit ribosomal RNA
Source: RNAcentral